Non-coding RNA from Zootoca vivipara (common lizard), 3242 nucleotides. NCBI's taxonomy places the organism in Eukaryota, Metazoa, Chordata, Lepidosauria, Squamata, Lacertidae. The record is from RefSeq and is a predicted model, not a curated record.
ACCACAAGAGAUAAUUUUGACUCCUUCCAUUCCCCAAACAGCAGAUGCCACUUAAUACUGCAAACUGUUUUGUAACUCAUAAUUUCAAAAGCAGUGUGUGGCAUGAGAGAGAUAUGUUUAGAUCAAAUCCACAGUACGCAUUACUAGAGUCCUGAUCACUGGAAAAACUGGUCCUUAAUAUUCAUUAGCAAAAUCAAAAUCAUGUGUUUCGGUUUUUCAUUUUUGUAUACAGCUUUACAGGAAAGUUACUGAAAACAGUAAGUCCAGUUGUGCAACAACAAGAGAUUUUGUCAUUGGAAAGCUAUGUGUACUCACUGUACACUUGUUAUUGACUGAAUUCACAUGUCAAUAACAUUUGUAGACAUGUAGAGUCCUUUCUAACUCUCUCCUCUUCCCUAUAGCUCAAGAACGAAAGAUCACUGCUUUAAAUGAUGUAAGCUGUGCAAUGUCCCUGUUCUUAUAAAGCCUCUUCUAUAACCAAUCACUAGAGUUAAAUUCCUGGAUGACAUCAUGAGCCCUGCCUAUGAAACUUUUGUUAUUUUUUCCCUCCACCAACUUCAGUUGUUCCCACAAACUCGGUGACGGAGAAGCCUUGUAGGUUCCCAGAGCAUAUCAUCACAUAUUUCAGAAAUCACUGGCUAUUGAGGUGCUGGACAGCCAAAGCUCAGGAAAAGCCAAGAACUGAAGAUGUGAUAUACAUCUGUCAACCUUAAUUCACUGGCACUGAAACUGAACAAACUCAAAACUGCGAUCACAAAUUCUGCUGCACACAUAAAAAGUGCAAGAGACGCCUACAAUGGAUCUUGCAGCAAACAGAGGCCUCAACCUCCUACUCAAUUUUCUACUCAUUUUCCUGGUUCUUGUUCUCAUGUACAUCCUUGUAAAGCUCAUGUGAAUUUCUCAUUUUGUUUGAACGUUUACUAUUAAUCCACUAUGGUUACUUGAAGCUUCAAACUUUGUGAACAGAAACACUGAAACAAACAAAACCCAGAAAAAUCCACAACCUACAAAACUGAAGAGCGGGGGAGCAUUGAUUUUAUUAGACAAAUUAAGAACAUGGAUUUGCUGGUGUGCAUUAUUUUUGCACCAGAACAGAGCAAGACUGUACUUCACAAAAACUACCCCCUUACAGUAUAGAAUAACUGCAACAUGGUCACCAGCAGAAAUAAUCAAUACUAUAUAUUUACGUAUCUACCAAAGAAUGGUUAGACUGUGGACUUCUGAGAUUACAGACUCUACAAGUAGGACACAGAAAAAAAAAACUUAGCCCAAAAGCUGCAUCGCAACAACCUGAAAUACUGAAAAGUAAUUAUUAUUAUUAUUUUUUACAUGCAACUAAUCGUUUAAAGGAAGAAAAUAAUGACAGCACAUUUGUUUGAAGCAAACAUGGAAGUUCCUGUGACUUUUAUUUGGGUAUGAGGGCAAACAAUAAUUAGAGGAGGUAAGGUGGCGGGGGUAGGAAUACAGCCUAAUUGUUUGCAUGCUUAUUCAGAAGUAUUUCAGUGUUUGAUGGGCCUUACUCUACCCAAAAUUACUAAGGAAUAAGACCCAUGAAAUGCAGUGGCACUUACUUACUAGCGAACAUGCAUAGGUGUACACUGUUAAUUAUUCUGAACACUGAAAAUGGGCCAAUGUAUUAUUCAAUUAUAAUGUGUUAGUCACAACAUUUUUAGCAGAACAAUAUGCUCCCAUUUAGUCUCUAGCUACACUAGUCUUUCAAGCCACAGAAUUUCUGAAGGACACACUAUAGCAGUGGAUUGAUAUGGCUAGAAUUCCAGAGGGAUAGCCAUGUCAACCUGUGGCAAGAAAAAACAAGCGAAGUGUCUUUACGAUGACACAUGACUCUCAGAUGCUUCUAUGAUUCUUUUACUUGUGAUGCUAUUUUUUGUGAAUAUACAGUAAUGUGGAAUCAAAUGUUCAAAGAGACCUUUAUGAAAUUCAGAAUGCAUAUGUUUCUUCUACACUUGCUUUGCCUACAGUUCUGUUUUACAGAAUAAACUGCUCAGUGAAUUUACUAUAGGAACUUUAUAUGUCUUUGGGCACCUUUUUGAGAUAUGUCUGUCAGUCUGCAUGCCCACCUUCAGAAGUAGAAUGGCUGGCAAGAACUACAGUGGUACCUCGGUUUAAGUACACAAUUGGUUCCGGAAGUCUGUACUUAACCUGAAGCGUACUUAACCUGAAGCGAACUUUCCCACUGAAAGUAAUGGAAAGUGGAUUAAUCCGUUCCAGACGGGUCCACAGAGUACUCAACCUGAAGCGUACUUAACCUGAAGCGAACUUUCCCAUUGAAAGUAAUGGAAAGUGGAUUAAUCCGUUCCAGACGGGUCCGCGGAGUACUUAAACUGAAAGUGCUCAAACCGAAGCGUACUUAAACCGAGGUAAGACUGUACUACAUUAAAUGGAAUAGCCAAUGGAAGCUCAGCAAUUGCAGAGAUUACAGUAUUCAAAUGUCUGUGAUACCACAUAUAUGUUGGAAAACAACUAUAGACUUCUUGUAUACAUUUCAGAAAUCAGACAUUGGCAAUCACAACAAAAGAGAUUGAACAGUCUGUUGCAAUACCAUUUUAUUUAGAUUCUCAUAAGUUUUCAAACAUGGGAAUAUUUCCAACAGAAAGACCAUUCAAUCCUGUAACAGUAGAAUAGAAUUUCUGCAUAUACACUGAAAGCCCUAAUGUUCUCCUGCGUUUAACCUUGAAAGCAUUUUACCUAUGUGUUUAAUUCUUUUUUUAAAAAAAAACAUCCUGAACUUCUAUUGUCACCUUCCUGAGAAUUCAAUUUACCCUCAGCAUUCUUAGAAUUCCACCACUUUGGUUCCCAAGAUCUGGUUUGCAAUCUAACUCUUACCUACAAAGGCACAAGCCAAAAUAUUUAACUGCUCAAUUUUAAGUCUCUCUUUUGCUUUAUCAGUCAGUUAUUAAAAGUUUAUAUGAAGUCUGUACAGGUCUUUCCAACUUUCUGCAUACUGUUGAGGUCCUCUGAGAUUGAUAAAAAGUCCAUAUUUAGUGGGAAAGCUACACUCACAUAUGUAAUAUAUACAACAGAUAUCAGAAAUGUACUGACAGUAUUGUAUCUUACCAGUGUUAAGAAUUUCACUAAUUUAAUAUACAGAUAAAUGUAUCAAAAGUUUAAUUUUGCUAAAGAAUGAAAAAAGAUUAUACUUUGUUGUUUUUGUUUUUUCCUUUGUACCUAAUUGAGACAUACCCAAUAAAUCUCCAAUUGUAGCCUUGGGGCUAAGAGUUUAA